AGCCUGAACGCUGGCGGCGUGGCUAAGACAUGCAAGUCGCACGGUGUAGCAAUACACAGUGGCGAACGGGUGAGUAAUGAAUCGCUAAUGUACCCCGGACUCUGGGAUAGCUACCCGAAAGGGUAGGUAAUACCAGAUGAGACCACGAUCAGGCAUCUGAUUGUGCUCAAAGGUCCGCCGGUCUGGGAGCAGGCGAUUUCGUAUCAGCUAGUUGGUGAGGUAACGGCUCACCAAGGCGACGACGCGUAGCCGGACUGAGAGGUUGGCCGGCCACAUUGGGACUGAGACACUGCCCAGACUCCGUACGGGGGGCUGCCAGUAACGAAUCUUCCGCAAUGCACGAAAGUGUAGACGGAGCGACGCCGCGUGUAGGACGAAGCCUUGGGGUGUAAACUACUGUCGUAGGGUUAGAAAGUUCUAGAUACAACCCCGAGAAGGAACGCGAACGGCUAACUCUCGU
This 460-nucleotide ribosomal RNA is filed under the name uncultured soil bacterium. RNAcentral's name for it is "bacterial SSU rRNA". It matches the Rfam family "Bacterial small subunit ribosomal RNA", at positions 26 to 506 of the family's 1533-position model. The record is from RNAcentral.